CAUUUUUCCACCCAGAGAAAUGACGUGGUCCGUCCCCUCCUCUAUCCAGUUCUCUUUAGUGUUUGCCAAUGUCGGAGGUGUAACUGGGGUCUGGCCCUGGACAAAGGAAUAGAGCAUGGCUCAAGUGAAAGUACAGACCUCAGCACCCCUGGCUGGUCCUGGCCUCUCCCCCGGAGUUCCCCCGAUGGCCAUGGCCAGCCCAGGAUCCCUGGGUCUGCAGCCCUCCGUCAACGGCACAGGCCCGGCCCCCACACCCGCCUGCCCUGCUCCUGCAGUCGGAUAUGGGGACGCCCCUGUGUCUAUCACACCGCCAGGCUCGCCCCAGGAGAACAUGGCAAACCCUAAAGAGAAAACUCCAAUGUGUUUGGUGAAUGAGUUAGCCCGUUUCAAUAGGAUCCAACCACAGUACAAGCUCCUCAAUGAGAGAGGCCCUGCACACGCUAAGAUCUUCACAGUGCAGCUGACUCUGGGGGAGCAGGUGUGGGAGGCGGAGGGCACCAGCAUAAAAAAGGCCCAACACUCCACAGCAGCCAAAGCACUGGACGAGAGUGUCCUCCCCAGGCCUGCGCCCCGCUCCCCUAAAGUGGACAUCAACAGUAACCCAGGCAGUAUAACACCCACAGUGGAGCUGAACGGUCUGGCCAUGAAGAGAGGAGAGCCAGCUAUAUAUAGGCCUUUGGAUCCUAAGCCCAUGCCCAACUACAGAGCAAACUACAACUUCAGAGGGAUGUUCAACCAAAGGUACCAUUAUCCUGUUCCUAAGAUCUUUUAUGUGCAACUGUCAGUGGGGACUAAUGAGUUUAUUGGCGAGGGACGCACCCGCCAAGCAGCCCGACACAGCGCUGCCAUGAAGGCCCUGCAAGCCCUGCGCAAUGAACCUAUUCCAGAGCGGCCACCACAGAGCCCAGAAGAGAAAGGGGAGAGUGAGGAAGGCACCGAUGCCAGCAAAUCAGAGAUCAGCCUGGUCUAUGAAAUUGCCCUCAAGAGGAAUUUGUCUGUCAACUUUGAGGUGUUGAAGGAGAGCGGCCCCCCGCACAUGAAAAGCUUCCUGACUCGCGUCUCUGUGGGGGAGUUCUCUGCCGAAGGUGAAGGAAAUAGCAAGAAGCUGUCCAAAAAGCGUGCCGCUCUGUCCAUUCUGCAAGACCUGAAAAAGCUGCCCUUCAUCCCCGCCGUGGAGAAACCCAAGACGCAUUACAAGAAACGCACCAAAACCAUCCUCAAGACGGGACCAGACUAUGGCCAGGGCAUGAACCCCAUCAGUCGUCUAGCCCAGAUCCAACAGGCCAAGAAGGAGAGGGAGCCCGAGUACCUGCUGCUCUCAGAGAGGGGGAUGCCCCGACGCCGGGAGUUCAUCAUGCAGGUGAAGGUGAAUAACGAGGUUGCCACAGGAACAGGACCCAACAAGAAAGUGGCCAAGCGGAACGCAGCUGAGGCGAUGCUGCUGCAACUGGGAUACAAGGCCUCUACAGUCCCUCAGAACCCCACCGAGAUGGACAACAAAGGCUGGAACGGACAAAAGGCGUCCUUUACCGAAGCGACAAGUAACACACAGAAAGGUCUGCUCCACCUCAGCCCCGAUGUCUACCAGGAGAUGGAGGCCAGCAGGAAGCAGGGGGGCAGUGCCUCGGGCCCUGGCGGCAGCGGCAACAGCGGCAACUCUGUCAACUACAUACCAUCCAAAGACAUGGGACCCUGCUCUGCCCCGCUGCCCCCAGGACACCCUCCAUACUACAGCGGCUCAGCCUCUUCACCUAGCCCAACUGCUACCAUGGCCAGGGAGCUGCUUCUUAAUGGUCAGUCACCCACUGCUGACGCCUCCCUGCCCAUAAAAGGGAAGAACCCGGCUCUUGCCUGUGGCGUCUCGGUGCAGCCUGCACAGCAGUUGGACUACCUGGCUCGCAUCCAGGGCUUCCAGGUGCAGUACAAUGAUGCGCAGAGUGGUAAGGAUUUUGUGACCUAUCUGACCCUCUCCCCUGUGCAAAUGACUUUCCACGGCACUGGGAGCACCCUCCAAGCCAGCCAUGACCAGGCUGCUCUAAGUGCCUUGAAACAGCUGUCGGAGCAGGGACUGGACCCGGUGGACGGCCCCAUCAAGGUACGGUAGAACACGGAUCUAACUCCACACUCGUGCAGUGUUUUACCAACCGGCCAAUCAGGACCAGUGAACCAUGUGGGAGGGAGGACGGACAUUAAACAGACUAACUCAGGCACCACCACUCAGGUCUGCAAGGAUUCAAAGGCUGUCGUCAAGGAGCUGACAUCCCCGACCCCCCCCCCCUCCUUUCGGCAUACACAAACCUA
Paralichthys olivaceus (Japanese flounder) is the source of this 2301-nucleotide RNA transcript. It is a transcript of the gene named staufen double-stranded RNA binding protein 2, with no coding region annotated. The record is from RefSeq and is a predicted model, not a curated record. NCBI's taxonomy places the organism in Eukaryota, Metazoa, Chordata, Actinopteri, Pleuronectiformes, Paralichthyidae.